Ostrinia nubilalis (European corn borer) is the source of this 197-nucleotide long non-coding RNA. RefSeq lists it as uncharacterized. The transcript has 2 exons. The record is from RefSeq and is a predicted model, not a curated record. NCBI's taxonomy places the organism in Eukaryota, Metazoa, Arthropoda, Insecta, Lepidoptera, Crambidae.
AUUUUUGAUUUUCAACCGACUUCAAAAAAAGGAGGAGGUUCUCAAUUCGACCCGUAUGUUUUUUUUUUUUUCUAUGUUUGUUACGCGAUAACUCCGCCAAUUAUGAACCGAUUUGAACAAAUCUUUUUUCAGCGUAUAGGUAAUACCUCAAGGGUGGUAUACCAUGAUUGAUACUUUUGGAGUCGGUGCAGGCAAAC